This is a long non-coding RNA of Vespa crabro (European hornet), 868 nucleotides long. RefSeq lists it as uncharacterized. The record is from RefSeq and is a predicted model, not a curated record. NCBI's taxonomy places the organism in Eukaryota, Metazoa, Arthropoda, Insecta, Hymenoptera, Vespidae. The transcript has 4 exons.
AUUUGAUUUCGAGUUAAUAAUUAAAUGAAUUAUCGAUUAACGAUAAAUGAAAUUUAUAAUGAAUGAAUCGAUAUAAUAUUUGGAGGAAAUGUGGAUUUUUAUUUUCGAGAACGUUCUAAACCGCGAUAGUGGCAAAGGUUCGAGAUGAUGAAGAGAAUACGAAGGAGGUAGAAAAUAAAAAGGUGAAAAAGAAAAUCGGAUAGUGAGGCGAGAGGAGGUAUCGGAAGGAGAGCUACAGUGCCUACAUAGCAAAAAAGGAAUGACGCCGGUAUUUUUAAUGGGAAGCCGAAGGCGAGUUGAAUAGAACGAGCUUUUGGGUCCCUCGCGAGGACGUCGUACGCCUCUACAAGGGUUCAAAGCGAGAGCCAAGUUUUAACAAGCCUCAGGCUUCGUGCCCCUGGCCCCUGGAUGUCUCCUUUAAAUAAUCCACCGGACGAUCCAUUCGUACGAAGGAUCGUUCAAACACCAUUGAAAAAUUCUUUCGAUGUCCGUCUCAAUUAUCAAGAUAAAAUUUCUUUGGUAAAACUUAUGCGGACGUUUAUCCAAAAAAUUCUAUCACCGUCCUUUAAGAAAAAUUCCAGAAUUACAGACAAAGUCCUUGCAUAGAUAUCUCGUUCUUUCUCGUAACGUCCUCCAUUCGUGUCUCUCGCCUCUUUAUAAAGAAAGAGAGGAGGUCGUUCUUUUUACUUGGGGGAAUCGUGAAAGUCAAGAGAAGAUUCGAGUGUAUAGGAUAUAGUGAGGAACGAGGGAACACGAUUUAUUAGAGAAAGACAAGGAAAAGAGGAAUAAAACGAAAGGAGGGAAGAAAAAGAGGAUGGACCGCACAAAGAAAAAAACGCAGGCGGGAGGCCGAGGUGUACAUGGGGAA